RNAcentral lists this ribosomal RNA (464 nucleotides) under uncultured bacterium. RNAcentral's name for it is "bacterial SSU rRNA". It matches the Rfam family "Bacterial small subunit ribosomal RNA", at positions 331 to 793 of the family's 1533-position model. The record is from RNAcentral.
CCAGACUCCUACGGGAGGCAGCAGUGAGGAAUAUUGGUCAAUGGGCUUACGCCUGAACCAGCCAAGUCGCGUGAGGGAAGACGGCCCUACGGGUUGUAAACCUCUUUUGUCGGGGAGCAAAGCGAACCACGUGUGGUUCAUUGAGAGUACCCGAAGAAAAAGCAUCGGCUAACUCCGUGCCAGCAGCCGCGGUAAUACGGAGGAUGCGAGCGUUAUCCGGAUUUAUUGGGUUUAAAGGGUGCGCAGGCGGAAUGUCAAGUCAGCGGUAAAAUUUCGGGGCUCAACCCCGUCGUGCCGUUGAAACUGGCGUCCUUGAGUGAGCGAGAAGUAUGCGGAAUGCGUGGUGUAGCGGUGAAAUGCAUAGAUAUCACGCAGAACUCCGAUUGCGAAGGCAGCAUACCGGCGCUCAACUGACGCUCAUGCACGAAAGCGUGGGUAUCGAACAGGAUUAGAUACCCCAGUAC